This 497-nucleotide ribosomal RNA is filed under the name uncultured bacterium. RNAcentral's name for it is "partial 16S ribosomal RNA". It matches the Rfam family "Bacterial small subunit ribosomal RNA", at positions 28 to 507 of the family's 1533-position model. The record is from RNAcentral.
GAUGAACGCUGGCGGCGUGCCUAAUACAUGCAAGUCGAGCGAACAGACGAGGAGCUUGCUCCUCUGACGUUAGCGGCGGACGGGUGAGUAACACGUGGAUAACCUACCUAUAAGACUGGGAUAACUUCGGGAAACCGGAGCUAAUACCGGAUAACAUGUUGAACCGCAUGGUUCAACAGUGAAAGACGGUCUUGCUGUCACUUAUAGAUGGAUCCGCGCCGCAUUAGCUAGUUGGUAAGGUAACGGCUUACCAAGGCAACGAUGCGUAGCCGACCUGAGAGGGUGAUCGGCCACACUGGAACUGAGACACGGUCCAGACUCCUACGGGAGGCAGCAGUAGGGAAUCUUCCGCAAUGGGCGAAAGCCUGACGGAGCAACGCCGCGUGAAUGAAGAAGGUCUUCGGAUCGUAAAGCUCUGUUAUUAGGGAAGAACAAAUGUGUAAGUAACUAUGCACGUCUUGACGGUACCUAAUCAGAAAGCCACGGCUAACUACGUG